AUACGGAGGGUGCAAGCGUUACUCGGAAUCACUGGGCGUAAAGCGCGCGCAGGCGGGCUGAUAAGUUGGAUGUGAAAGCCUACGGCUCAACCGUAGAACUGCAUCCAAAACUGUCAGUCUAGAGUCUGGGAGGGGAAGAUGGAAUUAGUUGUGUAGGGGUAAAAUCCGUAGAGAUAACUAGGAAUACCAAAAGCGAAGGCGAUCUUCUGGAACAGUACUGACGCUGAGGCGCGAAAGCGUGGGGAACAAACAGGAUUAGAUACCCUAGUAGUCC
Molecule: ribosomal RNA, 274 nt
Filed under: uncultured bacterium
Lineage: Bacteria
Description: partial 16S ribosomal RNA
Rfam family: Bacterial small subunit ribosomal RNA
Source: RNAcentral